Molecule: ribosomal RNA, 397 nt
Filed under: uncultured bacterium
Lineage: Bacteria
Description: partial 16S ribosomal RNA
Rfam family: Bacterial small subunit ribosomal RNA
Source: RNAcentral
AAUAUUGCACAAUGGGGGAAACCCUGAUCCAGCGACGCCGCGUGCGUGAAUAAGUCUUUCGGUUUGUACAGCUCUAUCCGCAGGGACGAUACUGUCGCUACCUGUCUAAGAAGCCCCGGCUAACUACAUGCCACAAGCCGCGGUAAUACGUAGGGGGCAAGCGUUAUCCGGAUUUACUGGGUGGAAAGGGAGUGUAGACGGUGAUGUAAGGCAGAUGUGAAAGCCCAGGGCUCAACCCUGGGACUGCAUUUGAAACUAUGUUGCUAGAGUGCAGGAGAGGUAAGUGGAAUUCCUAGUGUAGCGGUGAAAUGCGUAGAUAUUAGGAGGAACACCAGUGGCGAAGGCGGCUUACUGGACUGUAACUGACGUUGAGGCUCGAAAGCGUGGGGAGCAAACA